This 253-nucleotide ribosomal RNA is filed under the name uncultured bacterium. RNAcentral's name for it is "partial 16S ribosomal RNA". It matches the Rfam family "Bacterial small subunit ribosomal RNA", at positions 524 to 776 of the family's 1533-position model. The record is from RNAcentral.
UACGGGGGGGGCAAGCGUUGUUCGGAAUUACUGGGCGUAAAGGGCGCGUGGGCGGCCUUCUAAGUCGGACGUGAAAUCCCUCGGCUUAACCGAGGAACUGCGUCCGAUACUGAAAGGCUUGAAUCCGGGAGAGGGAUGUGGAAUUCCAGGUGUAGCGGUGAAAUGCGUAGAUAUCUGGAGGAACACCGGUGGCGAAGGCGGCAUCCUGGACCGGUAUUGACGCUGAGGCGCGAAAGCUAGGGGAGCAAACGGG